This 253-nucleotide ribosomal RNA is filed under the name uncultured bacterium. RNAcentral describes it as "partial 16S ribosomal RNA". It matches the Rfam family "Bacterial small subunit ribosomal RNA", at positions 524 to 776 of the family's 1533-position model. The record is from RNAcentral.
UACGAAGGGGGCUAGCGUUGCUCGGAAUUACUGGGCGUAAAGCGCACGUAGGCGGAUUGUUAAGUCGGGGGUGAAAGCCUGUGGCUCAACCACAGAAUGGCCCUCGAUACUGGACGGCUCGAGACCGGAAGAGGUUGGUGGAAUUGCGAGUGUAGAGGUGAAAUUCGUAGAUAUUCGCAAGAACACCGGUGGCGAAGGCGGCCAACUGGUCCGGAUCUGACGCUGAGGAGCGAAAGCGUGGGGAGCGAACAGG